UUAAUUCGAAGCAACGCGCAGAACCUUACCAGCGUUUGACAUCCUCAUCGCGAUUUCCAGAGAUGGAUUUCUUCAGUUCGGCUGGAUGAGUGACAGGUGCUGCAUGGCUGUCGUCAGCUCGUGUCGUGAGAUGUUGGGUUAAGUCCCGCAACGAGCGCAACCCUCGCCUUUAGUUGCCAGCAUUUAGUUGGGUACUCUAAAGGAACCGCCGGUGAUAAGCCGGAGGAAGGUGGGGAUGACGUCAAGUCCUCAUGGCCCUUACGCGCUGGGCUACACACGUGCUACAAUGGCGACUACAGUGGGCAGCGACCUCGCGAGGGGAAGCUAAUCUCCAAAAGUCGUCUCAGUUCGGAUUGUUCUCUGCAACUCGAGAGCAUGAAGGCGGAAUCGCUAGUAAUCGCGGAUCAGCAUGCCGCGGUGAAUACGUUCCCAGGCCUUGUACACACCGCC
This 450-nucleotide ribosomal RNA is filed under the name uncultured Alphaproteobacteria bacterium. RNAcentral's name for it is "bacterial SSU rRNA". It matches the Rfam family "Bacterial small subunit ribosomal RNA", at positions 946 to 1394 of the family's 1533-position model. Lineage: Bacteria; Pseudomonadati; Pseudomonadota; Alphaproteobacteria. The record is from RNAcentral.